UGCUCUGAAUGUCAAAGUGAAGAAAUUCAA
This 30-nucleotide non-coding RNA is filed under the name Drosophila melanogaster (fruit fly). Lineage: Eukaryota; Metazoa; Arthropoda; Insecta; Diptera; Drosophilidae. The record is from RNAcentral. RNAcentral also lists the same sequence under 5 other names.